This 79-nucleotide small RNA is filed under the name Salmonella enterica subsp. enterica serovar Indiana. Its description in RNAcentral is "partial RtT sRNA". It matches the Rfam family "RtT RNA", at positions 1 to 75 of the family's 130-position model. Rfam says of the family: This family represents a bacterial cis-regulatory element known as RtT RNA. The exact function of RtT is unknown although it is thought that it may be involved in changing the cellular response in relation to amino acid starvation. The record is from RNAcentral. Lineage: Bacteria; Pseudomonadati; Pseudomonadota; Gammaproteobacteria; Enterobacterales; Enterobacteriaceae.
UGUAUCUGAAGCCUGACGAGGAUGAGAACCUCCGGGGGCAAGAGGUUCGACCCGAGCGAAGCGAGAAAACGUUGCGUCA